UACGUAGGGCGCAAGCGUUGUCCGGAAUUAUUGGGCGUAAAGAGCUCGUAGGCGGCUCGUCACGUCGGGUGUGAAAGCCCGGGGCUUAACCCCGGGUCUGCAUUCGAUACGGGCAGGCUAGAGUGUGGUAGGGGAGAUCGGAAUUCCUGGUGUAGCGGUGAAAUGCGCAGAUAUCAGGAGGAACACCGGUGGCGAAGGCGGAUCUCUGGGCCAUUACUGACGCUGAGGAGCGAAAGCGUGGGGAGCGAACAGG
RNAcentral lists this ribosomal RNA (253 nucleotides) under uncultured bacterium. RNAcentral describes it as "partial 16S ribosomal RNA". It matches the Rfam family "Bacterial small subunit ribosomal RNA", at positions 524 to 776 of the family's 1533-position model. The record is from RNAcentral.